AACUAAUGAGCUUGAUAUAAGCUUAUGCCUUGAAAUCAUAAGAAAGAAAAAUAAUUUCUAUUAGUUU
RNAcentral lists this transfer RNA (67 nucleotides) under Tenebrio obscurus (dark mealworm). RNAcentral's name for it is "tRNA-Ser". The record is from RNAcentral. Lineage: Eukaryota; Metazoa; Arthropoda; Insecta; Coleoptera; Tenebrionidae.